UGGAGAGGUGCAUGAGUGGUUUAAAUGGCAGUCCUGGAAAGACUGUGUUCCGCAAGGAACCGCAGGUUCGAAUCCUGUCCUCUCCGG
This 87-nucleotide transfer RNA is filed under the name candidate division WS6 bacterium OLB21. Its description in RNAcentral is "tRNA-Ser". It matches the Rfam family "tRNA". From Rfam's summary of the family: Transfer RNA (tRNA) molecules are approximately 80 nucleotides in length. Their secondary structure includes four short double-helical elements and three loops (D, anti-codon, and T loops). The record is from RNAcentral.